RNAcentral lists this ribosomal RNA (282 nucleotides) under uncultured Roseburia sp. Its description in RNAcentral is "partial 16S ribosomal RNA". It matches the Rfam family "Bacterial small subunit ribosomal RNA", at positions 62 to 339 of the family's 1533-position model. Lineage: Bacteria; Bacillati; Bacillota; Clostridia; Lachnospirales; Lachnospiraceae. The record is from RNAcentral.
UUUAAUUGAUUUCUUCGGAAAGAAGUUUUUGUGACUGAGUGGCGGACGGGUGAGUAACGCGUGGGUAACCUGCCUCAUACAGGGGGAUAACAGUUGGAAACGACUGCUAAUACCGCAUAAGCGCACAGGAUUGCAUGAUCCAGUGUGAAAAACUCCGGUGGUAUGAGAUGGACCCGCGUCUGAUUAGCCAGUUGGCGGGGUAACGGCCCACCAAAGCGACGAUCAGUAGCCGACCUGAGAGGGUGACCGGCCACAUUGGGACUGAGACACGGCCCAAACUCC